GUAAAGGGGUCCCGGUGUGAGGUGAGGGGGGGGUUAAACGAGGUAAAAGGGUCCCGAAAUGAGGUAAAAGGGGCCCAAAAUGAGGUGAGAGGGCCCUAAAGUGAGGUAAAGGGGUCCUAAAACCAGGUGAGGGGGUCCCAAAAUGCGGAAAAAGGGUCCCAAAAUGUGGUGAUGGGGUCCCCAAAUGAGGUGAGGGGGUCCUGGGGUAGGGUAACGGGGCGGGUUUGGGGUAAAGGGGGCUCAAAGUGAAGUCAUGGGGUCCCAAAAUGAGGAAAAAGGGUCCCAAAAUGGGGUGAUGGGGUCCCAAAAAAAGGUAAUGGGGUCCUGGUGGGGAAUGAGGGGGUUGGGGGAGGUAAGGGGGCUGUUUUGGGGUAAAAGGGGCCCAAAAUGGGACAGUGGGGUCCAGAUAUGAGAUAACGGGGCUGGUGUGAGGUAAUGGGGGCCUGAUAGGAGGUAAUGGGGCCAUUUUGGGGUAAAAAGGGCCCAAUAUGGGACAACAGGGUUGUGAUAAGGGGUAAUGGGGUUCUGUUUUGAGGUAAUGAGGCCGUUUUGGGGUAAAAAGGGCCCAAAAUGGGACAAUGGGGUCAUGAUACAUGAUAAUGGGGUUCUGAUAGGAGGUAACAGGGCCGUUUUGGGGUAAAAAGAGCCUAAUAUGGGAUAAGGGGAUCCUGAUAUGGGAUAACAAGGUCCCAAUAUGAGGUAAUGGGGCUGUUUUGGGGUAAAAGGGCCCAAUAUGGGACAACGGGGUUGCGAUAAGGGAUAAUGGGGUUCUGUUAUGAGGUAAUGGGGUCAUUUUGGGGUAAAAAGUGCCAAAUAUGGGACAAUGGGGUCGCAAUAAGUGAUAAUGGGGUCCUGAUAUGAGGUAAUGGGGCCAUUUUGGGGUAAAAAGGGCCCAAAAUGGGACAAUGGGGUUGUGAUAAGCGAUAAUGGGGUUCUGUUAUGAGGUAACGGGGCCAUUUUGGGGCAAAAAGGGCCCAAUAUGGGACACUGGGGUCCCUCUCCGAGCUAACCAUGCCCCGCUCCGAGCUAACAAUCCCCCAAAACGCCACAUUUUGGGGCCAAAACCCCCAAUUUUUGCCUCUCCCCCCCCUCCAGGAGCGCCCCCCGCCGACACCGUGGAAGUGGAGUGUGAGGAGGACGAGGAGGGCCCAGCGCACACAGGCGGCUCGGCGGAGCGCAGGCUGGGCCGCCAGGGCGCCCAGGAGCUGGACGGCUCCUCCCGGAGGGAGCAGGAUGAGGCCCCCCCUUCCUCUCAGCAGCCCCUGGGGCCCGAGGGCCCCCCCCGGG
RNAcentral lists this long non-coding RNA (1287 nucleotides) under Anas zonorhyncha (Eastern spot-billed duck). Its description in RNAcentral is "lncRNA (ENSAZOG00000012844.1)". The record is from RNAcentral. Lineage: Eukaryota; Metazoa; Chordata; Aves; Anseriformes; Anatidae.